GAUUAGCCUGCGUCCGAUUAGCUAGUUGGUGGGGUAAGGGCCUACCAAGGCGACGAUCGGUAGCUGGUCUGAGAGGAUGACCAGCCACACUGGAACUGAGACACGGUCCAGACUCCUACGGGAGGCAGCAGUGGGGAAUAUUGGACAAUGGGGGCAACCCUGAUCCAGCAAUGCCGCGUGUGUGAAGAAGGCCUGAGGGUUGUAAAGCACUUUCAGUGGGGAGGAGGGUUGAUAGGUUAAGAGCUGAUUAACUGGACGUUACCCACAGAAGAAGCACCGGCUAACUCCGUGCCAGCAGCCGCGGUAAUACGGAGGGUGCGAGCGUUAAUCGGAAUUACUGGGCGUAAAGGGUGCGUAGGUGGUUGAUUAAGUUAUCUGUGAAAUUCCUGGGCUUAACCUGGGACGGUCAGAUAAUACUGGUUGACUCGAGUAUGGGAGAGGGUAGUGGAAUUUCCGGUGUAGCGGUGAAAUGCGUAGAGAUCGGAAGGAACGCCAGUGGCGAAGGCGGCUACCUGGCCUAAUACUGACACUGAGGCACGAAAGCGUGGGGAGCAAACAGGAUUAGAUACCCUGGUAGUCCACGCUGUAAACGAUGUCAACUAGCUGUUGG
Molecule: ribosomal RNA, 610 nt
Filed under: uncultured Legionella sp.
Lineage: Bacteria; Pseudomonadati; Pseudomonadota; Gammaproteobacteria; Legionellales; Legionellaceae
Description: bacterial SSU rRNA
Rfam family: Bacterial small subunit ribosomal RNA
Source: RNAcentral